CAUGCAAGUCGGACGGUAGCACAGGGGAGCUUGCUCCCCGGGUGACGAGUGGCGGACGGGUGAGUAAUGUCUGGGAAACUGCCCGGUGGAGGGGGAUAACUACUGGAAACGGUAGCUAAUACCGCAUAACGUCUUCGGACCAAAGUGGGGGAUCUUCGGACCUCACGCCACCGGAUGUGCCCAGAUGGGAUUAGCUAGUAGGUGGGGUAACGGCUCACCUAGGCGACGAUCCCUAGCUGGUCUGAGAGGAUGACCAGCCACACUGGAACUGAGACACGGUCCAGACUCCUACGGGAGGCAGCAGUGGGGAAUAUUGCACAAUGGGCGCAAGCCUGAUGCAGCCAUGCCGCGUGUAUGAAGAAGGCCUUCGGGUUGUAAAGUACUUUCAGCGGGGAGGAAGGCGGUGAGGUUAAUAACCUCGCCGAUUGACGUUACCCGCAGAAGAAGCACCGGCUAACUCCGUGCCAGCAGCCGCGGUAAUACGGAGGGUGCAAGCGUUAAUCGGAAUUACUGGGCGUAAAGCGCACGCAGGCGGUCUGUUAAGUCAGAUGUGAAAUCCCCGGGCUUAACCUGGGAAACUGCAUUUGAAACUGGCAGGCU
RNAcentral lists this ribosomal RNA (600 nucleotides) under uncultured Gammaproteobacteria bacterium. RNAcentral describes it as "bacterial SSU rRNA". It matches the Rfam family "Bacterial small subunit ribosomal RNA", at positions 54 to 642 of the family's 1533-position model. The record is from RNAcentral. Lineage: Bacteria; Pseudomonadati; Pseudomonadota; Gammaproteobacteria.